CUACGUGCCAGCAGCCGCGGUAAUACGUAUGGCGCAAGCGUUAUCCGGAAUUAUUGGGCUUAAAGGGCAUCUAGGCGGUUAAACAAGUCAGGGGUGAAAACUUGCAGCUCAACUGCAAGCUUGCCUUUGAAACUGAUUAACUAGAGUACUGGAAAGGUGGGUGGAACUACACGAGUAGAGGUGAAAUUCGUAGAUAUGUGUAGGAAUGCCGAUGAUGAAGAUAACUCACUGGACAGAAACUGACGCUGAAGUGCGAAAGCUAGGGGAGCAAACAGGAUUAGAUACCCUGGUAGUCCUAGCUGUAAACGAUGAUCACUGGGUGUGGGGAUGAAUAGUCUCUGUGCCGAAGCAAAAGCGAUAAGUGAUCCGCCUGGGGAGUACGUACGCAAGUAUGAAACUCAAAGGAAUUGACGGGGACCCGCACAAGUGGUGGAGCAUGUGGUUUAAUUCGACGCAACGCGAGGAACCUUACCAGGUCUUGACAUAC
Molecule: ribosomal RNA, 487 nt
Filed under: uncultured bacterium
Lineage: Bacteria
Description: bacterial SSU rRNA
Rfam family: Bacterial small subunit ribosomal RNA
Source: RNAcentral